CAGUCGCCGCGGUAAUACGAAGGGGGCUAGCGUUGUUCGGAUUUACUGGGCGUAAAGGGUGCGUAGGCGGACUGAUAAGUCAGGGGUGAAAUCCCAAGGCUCAACCUUGGAACUGCCUUUGAUACUGUUAGUCUUGAGUUCGAGAGAGGUGAGUGGAACUGCGAGUGUAGAGGUGAAAUUCGUAGAUAUUCGCAAGAACACCAGUGGCGAAGGCGGCUCACUGGCUCGAAACUGACGCUGAGGCACGAAAGCGUGGGGAGCAAACAGGAUUAGAUACCCGCGUAGUCCCUGUCUCUUAUAC
RNAcentral lists this ribosomal RNA (301 nucleotides) under uncultured bacterium. RNAcentral's name for it is "partial 16S ribosomal RNA". It matches the Rfam family "Bacterial small subunit ribosomal RNA", at positions 509 to 807 of the family's 1533-position model. The record is from RNAcentral.